AGGUAAGCUACUAAGAGCGAAUGGUGGAUGCCUUGACUGGUAAAGGCGAUGAAGGACGUACUAGACUGCGAUAAGCUACGGGGAGCUGUCAAGAAGCUUUGAUCCGUAGAUUUCCGAAUGGGGCAACCCAAUGUAUAGAGAUAUACAUUACCUAUAUAGGAGCGAACGAGGGGAAUUGAAACAUCUUAGUACCCUCAGGAAAAGAAAUCAAUAGAGAUUGCGUCAGUAGCGGCGAGCGAAAGCGCAAGAGGGCAAACCCAGUGCUUGCACUGGGGGUUGUAGGACUGCAAUGUGCAAGAGGUAAGUUUAGCAGAACAUUCUGGAAAGUAUAACCAUAGAGGGUGAUAGUCCCGUAUGCGAAAAACAAACCUUAGCUAGCAGUAUCCUGAGUAGGGCGGGACACGAGGAAUCCUGUCUGAAUCCGGGUCGACCACGAUCCAACCCUAAAUACUAAUACCAGAUCGAUAGUGCACAAGUACCGUGAGGGAAAGGUGAAAAGAACUGAGGUGAUCAGAGUGAAAUAGAACCUGAAACCAUUUGCUUACAAUCAUUCAGAGCCCUAUGUAGCAAUACAGGGUGAUGGACUGCCUUUUGCAUAAUGAGCCUGCGAGUUGUGGUGUCUGGCAAGGUUAAGCAAACGCGAAGCCGUAGCGAAAGCGAGUCUGAAUAGGGCGCUUAGUCAGAUGCUGCAGACCCGAAACGAAGUGAUCUAUCCAUGAGCAAGUUGAAGCUAGUGUAAGAACUAGUGGAGGACUGAACCCAUAGGCGUUGAAAAGCCCCGGGAUGACUUGUGGAUAGGGGUGAAAGGCCAAUCAAACUUCGUGAUAGCUGGUUCUCUCCGAAAUAUAUUUAGGUAUAGCGUUGUGUCGUAAUAUAAGGGGGUAGAGCACUGAAUGGGCUAGGGCAUACACCAAUGUACCAAACCCUAUCAAACUCCGAAUACCUUAUAUGUAAUCACAGCAGUCAGGCGGCGAGUGAUAAAAUCCGUCGUCAAGAGGGAAACAACCCAGACUACCAGCUAAGGUCCCUAAGUCUUACUUAAGUGGAAAACGAUGUGAAGUUACUUAAACAACCAGGAGGUUGGCUUAGAAGCAGCCAUCCUUUAAAGAAAGCGUAAUAGCUCACUGGUCUAGUGAUUUUGCGCGGAAAAUAUAACGGGGCUAAAGUAAGUACCGAAGCUGUAGACUUAGUUUACUAAGUGGUAGGAGAGCGUUCUAUUUGCGUCGAAGGUAUACCGGUAAGGAGUGCUGGAGCGAAUAGAAGUGAGCAUGCAGGCAUGAGUAGCGAUAAUUAAUGUGAGAAUCAUUAACGCCGUAAACCCAAGGUUUCCUACGCGAUGCUCGUCAUCGUAGGGUUAGUCGGGUCCUAAGUCGAGUCCGAAAGGGGUAGACGAUGGCAAAUUGGUUAAUAUUCCAAUACCAACAUUAGUGUGCGAUGGAAGGACGCUUAGGGCUAAGGGGGCUAGCGGAUGGAAGUGCUAGUCUAAGGUCGUAGGAGGUUAUACAGGCAAAUCCGUAUAACAAUACUCCGAGAACUGAAAGGCUUUUUGAAGUCUUCGGAUGGAUAGAAGAACCCCUGAUGCCGUCGAGCCAAGAAAAGUUUCUAAGUUUAGCUAAUGUUGCCCGUACCGUAAACCGACACAGGUGGGUGGGAUGAGUAUUCUAAGGCGCGUGGAAGAACUCUCUUUAAGGAACUCUGCAAAAUAGCACCGUAUCUUCGGUAUAAGGUGUGGUUAGCUUUGUAUUAGGAUUUACUCCGAAAGCAAGGAAACUUACAACAAAGAGUCCCUCCCGACUGUUUACCAAAAACACAGCACUCUGCUAACUCGUAAGAGGAUGUAUAGGGUGUGACGCCUGCCCGGUGCUCGAAGGUUAAUUGAUGGGGUUAGCAUUAGCGAAGCUCUUGAUCGAAGCCCGAGUAAACGGCGGCCGUAACUAUAACGGUCCUAAGGUAGCGAAAUUCCUUGUCGGUUAAAUACCGACCUGCAUGAAUGGCGUAACGAGAUGGGAGCUGUCUCAAAGAGGGAUCCAGUGAAAUUGUAGUGGAGGUGAAAAUUCCUCCUACC
Molecule: ribosomal RNA, 2065 nt
Filed under: Campylobacter jejuni
Lineage: Bacteria; Pseudomonadati; Campylobacterota; Epsilonproteobacteria; Campylobacterales; Campylobacteraceae
Description: partial 23S ribosomal RNA
Rfam family: Bacterial large subunit ribosomal RNA
Source: RNAcentral